Molecule: ribosomal RNA, 508 nt
Filed under: uncultured bacterium
Lineage: Bacteria
Description: partial 16S ribosomal RNA
Source: RNAcentral
GGAGUUAGCCGGUGCUUCUUCUGUGAGUGAUGUCCUUCCUGCCGGUUAUUGACCCGCAGGCCUUCUUCCUCACUGAAAGUGCUUUACAACCCGAAGGCCUUCUUCACACACGCGGCAUGGCUGGAUCAGGGUUGCCCCCAUUGUCCAAUAUUCCCCACUGCUGCCUCCCGUAGGAGUCUGGGCCGUGUCUCAGUCCCAGUGUGGCUGAUCAUCCUCUCAGACCAGCUACGGAUCGUCGCCUUGGUGAGCCGUUACCUCACCAACCAGCUAAUCCGACAUAGGCUCAUCCGAUAGCGCGAGGCCCGAAGGUCCCCCGCUUUCCCCCGUAGGGCGUAUGCGGUAUUAGCCUGGGUUUCCCCAGGUUAUCCCCCACUACCGGGCAGAUUCCUAUGCAUUACUCACCCGUCCGCCGCUCGCCACCAGGGAGCAAGCUCCCCGUGCUGCCGCUCGACUUGCAUGUGUUAGGCCUGCCGCCAGCGUUCAAUCUGAGCCAUGAUCAAACUACUGA